AUGGAGCCCGGCAGCGAGGGUACUCCUGGCGCAUCGGACUCCUCCGGCGGGGGCGGCGGCGGCAACAAUGGAAGCCCAGGCCAGGAUGGAUUGUCCUGCUCGUCCGACGGCGGCGGCGGCAUGCUUCGCACAGGUGGAUUGUCCUCCUGCUCGUCCGACGGCGGCGGCGGCAUGCUUUGCACAGGCGGAUUGUCCUCCUGCUCGUCCGACGACGGCGGCAUGCUUCGUGUGGGCGGAUCGUCGUCCUGCUCGUCCGGGGGCGGCGGCAGGCUGCGCGCGGGAGGAUCAUCGUCCUGCUCGUCCAGCGCGGCCGCCGUCCUCCCCGGCGACGGCUGCCAUGCGAUGAGGAGGAGCAGUGCCACCGCAACCACCGCCGGCCUCCUCAUGGGUCCUCGCCCUGGUGGUGGUAUGUGGUGCUACAGCCUUACCAAGUAG
This 435-nucleotide ribosomal RNA is filed under the name Triticum aestivum (bread wheat). RNAcentral's name for it is "partial small subunit ribosomal RNA". Lineage: Eukaryota; Viridiplantae; Streptophyta; Magnoliopsida; Poales; Poaceae. The record is from RNAcentral.